AUGAAGGAGGGUCAGGAGAGGGGUGUCCUGAAUGAGACGAGCCCCCUCUGCAGAGGGCCCAGCCCCCCAGCGCCGCAACAUGAGGGUCACAGACCCGCAGGCCAGACCAAGAGGGGCCUGUCUUCUGGGGGGAGUGGCUCCUCAGGACGAGCCCCUUUGCCCCGGACUAGGUCUGUCUCCUUGGACCAAUUCCCCGAGGGGCGUCCUUCCAGACUGCCCUCCCAGCCCGGAGGCGCCAGCCCGUCACACAGUGUCAGCACCUGCCGAGCACCCGGGGAUGGCAGCCGUGUGUUUGGGAAGAAGGCCCGAGGCACGACCGUGAUGUCUUGUUUCCUUGAACAUUUUCUCCAGGUUCACCAGGCUCCUCCUUCCAUCCUGCCGGGGUGCUGCUUCCUGCCGCUCUUUUUACCUGACCAGAGUGACGUCCCUCAGAGAAAGUCUGAUGAGCGCAAGCAGUAGAGAAAAGGCUCUGGGGGGGGGACCCCUGCCUGCCACAGACAGACGCCGCAUUUCCCCACCCGCGGGCACACCUGAGCCUUCUGUUUUUCUUCACCUUUGUUGAUUGGAAUGACAAAAAAAUGAUACCUCAUGGCUUAUUUCUUUGUGAAAGUAAUAAACAGGUCUUCCCACCAUCCGUAGAGCCCCCCUAUGAAGCCUUGAGUAAGCCAAGAUGAUCAAAGCAAAGAGGCACAUGGGAAAAAAUGCUAGCACAUCCAGACCCAAAAAAUUACCCUUCUUAGGCUUUUCUGAUACCUUAGGGUUCAUCUUGCUAAUGGAUGCACAAUAUAAAUCAAGAGAGGCUCACAGACACAGCUCAGGGCUCUGGGGCGGGCGGUGGGGCUGCUGGGGGCGGUUCCCAGGAAGGGACCCUGCGGGCCGCGUCAGCUGAACGCUGUUUUCUCUUUUCGCCUUUUUUCGUAAAGGCAAACGGCCUCUUCAGACUUCUCUGUUAGCAAAAGCAGGUACUCGCGUGGGUCCUUCGUAAACGUGAGGCGGUAUAGCUCGAACCCGCAGGAAGCCAGGGUGGAGGGAGUCCCGCUCAGAGUUAGGGAAGCCGGAUGGGGGUGUAAGGCCGCCCCCCGCGCGCCUCUUUCCGCAGAGCAUGCACACGCCCCGUGCCCCAGACCCGCCGCGGAAGUCCUCUGUCCCCUGGACGGCGGAGGAUGGGCCUCGCUCUCUUGCACACGCUCUGCUCCCUCCGGAGCUGCCCGCCGCCCUGUUCUGCACAGCUUUCUCUGGUCGUGCCCGAAUGCCGCCAAGCCCUCCUUGCCAUUGUCACCACUAGCCCGCAUUGACGUCACGUGUAUAAGGAGCCCUCUGUCUUCGCAGCAGCUCCGUCAGGCCCGCUUUACAGGUGAAGAAAGCGAGGCACGGAGAGAUCAGGGGAGCUACCCAGGAGUCCCCCGUGGGUAUGACUGGAAGUUUUCGGACCAUGUUCAUCCAGGUGCCCUGGGUGGACGCCCCCCGCCCCCCGAGAGGCAGAGCUCCUGUCAGUCCAGCGCCACGUGCCCCACAGAUGCCGGCUUAGCUCGAGGUCCUUCCCACUCCCGUGGUUGUGUUUUUCCCGGACAGUUUCCUUGCCGUGAAUUUCCAGCCCUCCUACUGC
This is a long non-coding RNA of Suricata suricatta (meerkat), 1606 nucleotides long. The record is from Ensembl. Lineage: Eukaryota; Metazoa; Chordata; Mammalia; Carnivora; Herpestidae.